CCUACGGGUGGCAGCAGUGAGGAAUAUUGGUCAAUGGCCGUAAGGCUGAACCAGCCAAGUAGCGUGAGGGAAGACUGUCCUAUGGGUUGUAAACCUCUUUUAUGCGGGGAUAAAGGUGUCCACGUGUGGAUGUUUGAAGGUACCGCACGAAUAAGGAUCGGCUAACUCCGUGCCAGCAGCCGCGGUAAUACGGCGGAUCCGAGCGUUAUCCGGAUUUAUUGGGUUUAAAGGGUGCGUAGGCGGUUUGAUAAGUUAGCGGUGAAAUGUCGGGGCUCAACCCCGAAACUGCCUCUAAUACUGUUGGACUAGAGAAGAGUUGCGGUAGGCGGAAUGUAUGGCGUAGCGGUGAAAUGCUUAGAGAUCAUACAGAACACCGAUUGCGAAGGCAGCUUACCAAACUAUAUCUGACGUUGAGGCACGAAAGCGUGGGUAGCGAACAGGAUUAGAUACCCUUGUAGUC
RNAcentral lists this ribosomal RNA (460 nucleotides) under uncultured bacterium. RNAcentral's name for it is "partial 16S ribosomal RNA". It matches the Rfam family "Bacterial small subunit ribosomal RNA", at positions 338 to 795 of the family's 1533-position model. The record is from RNAcentral.